CCCUUAGAUGUUCUGGGCCGCACGCGCGCUACACUGACUACUUUAACGAGUUGUUUCCUUGAUCGAAAGGUCUGGGUAAUCUUUGAAAGGUAGUCGUGAUGGGGAUAGAUCCUUGCAAUUUUUGAUCUUCAACGAGGAAUUCCUAGUAAACGCAAGUCAUCAGCUUGCAUUGAUUACGUCCCUGCCCUUUGUACACACCGCCCGUCGCACCUACCGAUUGAAUGGUCCGGUGAAGCCUCCGGAUUGGCGCGCACCUCGGUGCCGCCGAGAAGUUGGCUAAACCUUACCAUUUAGAGGAAGGUGAAGUCGUAACA
This 314-nucleotide ribosomal RNA is filed under the name uncultured eukaryote. Its description in RNAcentral is "partial 18S ribosomal RNA". It matches the Rfam family "Eukaryotic small subunit ribosomal RNA", at positions 1470 to 1796 of the family's 1831-position model. The record is from RNAcentral.